This is a long non-coding RNA of Carassius gibelio (silver crucian carp), 1042 nucleotides long. RefSeq lists it as uncharacterized. The record is from RefSeq and is a predicted model, not a curated record. The transcript is spliced from 4 exons. NCBI's taxonomy places the organism in Eukaryota, Metazoa, Chordata, Actinopteri, Cypriniformes, Cyprinidae.
UGAAAAACUUCCAGCACAUGACCAACUUUCAAUGUUGAAAUAUGGUUGAAAUAAGGUCAGUUGUGGUUUCAACGUUGAAACAACGUUGAUUCAACGUUUAAAGAUGAACGGUUGAAAAACUUCCAGCACAUGACCAACUUUCAACAUUGAAAUAUGGUUGAAAUAAGGUCAGUUGUUUUAAUGAAACAACGUUAAAAAUGUUUAAUGCUAAAUGGUAGAAAAAGGUUAACAAGCUUUUAAAUUAUUUAUAUUAAAUUAUUUAAAUUAAUUAAUUUAUUAUUUUAAUAGCAUUUUAAAAUAUUUUAGUCAUGAUACUUAUUCUAAAAUCUAAAGGUAUAUGUUAAAUAUUAUCAUCAUUAACAACAAUAAAACUAUAUACAUUUCGCUGCUUUAUCAAACUGAAACAACUCCCAUUGGUAGUUUUAUUUUAUUACUUCUAUCAUGAUUGGUUAAUCUGGCUGUCAUUCAGGAAACUGGACAAUGAAUCGGUUCGCGCCUUUCUACAUUUAAAAAUAUGACCGUUAUUGUCGUCUUUCUGUGAGUGAGGCGGAUAACUGUGAGCUGCUGCUCGUUAUAACUGACUGCUCGGUCGGUCCCGAAUUAUUUCAUAUUUGCCUGUACAUUUUUUUUAUUUAUUUUGAGCGAAUUUGAGUCGUGACAUGUCAAUGGAGAACAAAAACUGUGAACACAAGAAGGGUCAGGUGUUCUGCGAGGUCCUGAAAACAUCCUGUCAAAAUGAGAUGAUCAAGUUAGAUGCUCACCCAAUGUGUUGCUGAGUCAUCGAGGAUCCAGCUUGUUCUUGAAACAUUGAAGUUUGCCCUCUGCAAGUGAACGACGCCUUGUGGUGCCAUCCCAAAGAAGUUCACAAUCACUCUCUCGGACCUUUUCCUGGACUGUGCCCAGCUGGUGGAAUGACCUCCCAAUCUCAAUCCGAACUGCUGAGUCUUUACUCAUUUUCAAGAAACAUUUUAAGACUCAUCUUUUUCACCAGAACUUAACCAACUAAUGCUAGCACUUUUCCUUCUUUUCUUGUCUUUCAUAU